UGAAUGGUUUUUCUUGAAACCACUCACAUUAGAACUAUGGUUAACU
Erythranthe guttata (spotted monkey flower) is the source of this 46-nucleotide non-coding RNA. NCBI's taxonomy places the organism in Eukaryota, Viridiplantae, Streptophyta, Magnoliopsida, Lamiales, Phrymaceae. The record is from Rfam.